AACUUUCAGCAACGGAUCUCUUGGCUCUCGCAUCGAUGAAGUACGCAGCGAAAUGCGAUAAGUAAUGUGAAUUGCAGAAUUCAGUGAAUCAUCGAAUCUUUGAACGCACCUUGCGCUCCUUGGUAUUCCGAGGAGCAUGCCUGUUUGAGUGUCAUGAAAUCUUCAACCUAUAAGCUUUUGUGGUUUGUAGGCUUGGACUUGGAGGCUUGUCGGCCUUGAUCGGUCGGCUCCUCUUAAAUGCAUUAGCUUGAUUCCUUGCGGAUCGGCUCUCGGUGUGAUAAUAUCUACGCCGCGACCGUGAAGCGUUUGGCGAGCUUCUAACCGUCUCACUUGAGAGACAACUUUAUGACCUCUGACCUCAAAUCAGGUAGGACUACCCGCUGAACUUAAGCAUAUCAAUAAGCGGAGGCU
This 411-nucleotide unclassified non-coding RNA is filed under the name uncultured Ganoderma. Its description in RNAcentral is "sequence contains ITS2". The stretch from base 1 to 154 matches the Rfam family "5.8S ribosomal RNA". Lineage: Eukaryota; Fungi; Basidiomycota; Agaricomycetes; Polyporales; Polyporaceae. The record is from RNAcentral.